RNAcentral lists this ribosomal RNA (460 nucleotides) under uncultured bacterium. RNAcentral describes it as "partial 16S ribosomal RNA". It matches the Rfam family "Bacterial small subunit ribosomal RNA", at positions 338 to 795 of the family's 1533-position model. The record is from RNAcentral.
CCUACGGGUGGCAGCAGUGAGGAAUAUUGGUCAAUGGGCGCGAGCCUGAACCAGCCAAGUCGCGUGAGGGAUGAAGGUUCUAUGGAUCGUAAACCUCUUUUAUAAGGGAAUAAAGUGUGGGACGUGUCCCUUUUUGUAUGUACCUUAUGAAUAAGGAUCGGCUAACUCCGUGCCAGCAGCCGCGGUAAUACGGAGGAUCCGAGCGUUAUCCGGAUUUAUUGGGUUUAAAGGGUGCGUAGGUGGCUUUUUAAGUCAGCGGUGAAAGUUUGUGGCUCAACCAUAAAAUUGCCGUUGAUACUGGGGGGCUUGAGUAUGGUUGAGGCAGGCGGAAUGCGUGGUGUAGCGGUGAAAUGCUUAGAUAUCACGCAGAACCCCGAUUGCGAAGGCAGCCUGCCAAGCCAUGACUGACGCUGAUGCACGAAAGCGUGGGGAUCAAACAGGAUUAGAUACCCGUGUAGUU